This 253-nucleotide ribosomal RNA is filed under the name uncultured bacterium. RNAcentral's name for it is "partial 16S ribosomal RNA". It matches the Rfam family "Bacterial small subunit ribosomal RNA", at positions 524 to 776 of the family's 1533-position model. The record is from RNAcentral.
GACGUAGGGCGCGAGCGUUGUCCGGAUUUAUUGGGCGUAAAGAGCUCGUAGGCGGUCUGUCGCGUCGGCUGUGAAAACCCGGGGCUCAACCCCGGGCCUGCAGUCGAUACGGGCAGACUAGAGUGCGGUAGGGGAGACUGGAAUUCCUGGUGUAGCGGUGAAAUGCGCAGAUAUCAGGAGGAACACCGGUGGCGAAGGCGGGUCUCUGGGCCGUUACUGACGCUGAGGAGCGAAAGCGUGGGGAGCGAACAGG